CGCGAUUCGCCCUUCGGGGUGCCCAGGCGCGAAAACUUUACAAUGCUGGAAACCGUGAUAAGGGAACUCUGAGUGCCCGUAAAAUCGGGCUGUCCAUCAGUUUAAAUAACUGGUGAAGAAAGGGCCGGGCAAGACCGGUGCCAGCCGCCGCCGUAAUACCGGCGGCUCGAGCGGUGGCCACUAUUACUGGGCUUAAAGCGUUCGCAGCUGGUUUGUUAAGUCUCUGGGGAAAUCUUCCGGCUUAACCGGAAGGCGUCUCAUGGAUACUGGUAGACUAGGUACCGGGAGAGGUGAGGGGUACUUCAGGGGUAGGAGUGAAAUCCUGUAAUCCUUGAGGGACCACCUGUGGCGAAGGCGCCUCACCAGAACGGCUCCGACAGUGAGGGACGAAAGCUGGGGGAGCAAACCGGAUUAGAUACCCGGGUAGUCCCAGCUGUAAACGAUGCGCGUUAGGUGUAUCGGUGACCACGAGUCACCGAGGUGCCGAACAGAAAUCGUGAAACGUGCCGCCUGGGAAGUACGGUCGCAAGGCUGAAACUUAAAGGAAUUGGCGGGGGAGCAC
RNAcentral lists this ribosomal RNA (562 nucleotides) under uncultured archaeon. RNAcentral describes it as "bacterial SSU rRNA". It matches the Rfam family "Archaeal small subunit ribosomal RNA", at positions 312 to 879 of the family's 1478-position model. The record is from RNAcentral.